This 136-nucleotide ribosomal RNA is filed under the name uncultured eukaryote. Its description in RNAcentral is "partial 18S ribosomal RNA". It matches the Rfam family "Eukaryotic small subunit ribosomal RNA", at positions 1299 to 1458 of the family's 1831-position model. The record is from RNAcentral.
UGGUGGAGCGAUUUGUCUGGUUAAUUCCGAUAACGAACGAGACUCUAGCCUAUUAUAUAGUUCGCCGAUUUUUCGAGUCGGCGUCAACUUCUUAGAGGGACAAGUGUCGUAUGGCACGCGAGAUUGAGCAAUAACA